UUGAGGAAGACGUCAGUGUUUCAAUGGAGAAGGUCAUUACCUGGGUUAUGAAAUAGCCCUGGGGACAAACUGUCUAGUGGAAGUGGGACUGUGUUCUCCUGAUGGUGUAUUGUUUCACCUCUGCUGAAAAGAGUGGGGUUGCUUCAGCAUAAUGGUAGAGUAAGUGGAAUCAUGAGCAAAGUCAGGAGUGUGGGCAUUUCUCACUUUCUUCUUGGCAUUUUUCAUCUGUGUGUCCUGCUUGUGCCUGGCAGCAGCUGCAGCAGAAUGGCCCCUUCAUACAGCUCAGCUUUCUCCAGGUUCCAGCCAGAGAUAUGCAAAAUGCUUGUAAUGAAGCCGCAAGCCAUGUGAAAACAGCAACAAGCUAUUGUAGCAAUGAGUGGCUCCUGCUUCAAGUAGAAGAAAAAGAAGAGAGGGCAUCCUCACGGAGAGGCACAAAUGAGCUGGAUCCCUCUUCAUUUGGAAUAAAGCGGUUACACUGAGAUUUACUGACAGAGUAUGAGGGGGAUGAACUACUUGGAAUGCUGAGCCUUCCUCGGUCUCCUGACCAGAACCAGGAACAUCCAGGAGAAACAGCUCUGGGUAUGGGUUAUGAAUGGAUAACCCCUACGAUCCUGUUCAAGGGAGGGAGACAAACAGGUCUACUUCUUGAAGCUGUUCCAUCAGGAUUGGGUUUUGUAUGCUCAGGGAACCCUAAGGAUGCAUCUUUACACUCUGUUGUGUUACCAUUGCUAUGUAGUCUGUCUGAGACUGAAGGUGCACUUCAGCAGCUCUAGUAAGAAGAUUCCAAGCUACUUCAGACUUUCUUACUUAACUGAUUAUCCCUUCACUUAUCCAAGAGAUGCUGAAUAGCUAAUAAAGAUUUCUUCAGAUGGAUUUCUUCAGCACUUGCCGCAGCAGCUGCCAUCACUGACAUACAGCACAGAAUGCAGAAGGAAUUAAAAAAAAA
Non-coding RNA from Coturnix japonica (Japanese quail), 946 nucleotides. NCBI's taxonomy places the organism in Eukaryota, Metazoa, Chordata, Aves, Galliformes, Phasianidae. The record is from RefSeq and is a predicted model, not a curated record.